Molecule: ribosomal RNA, 301 nt
Filed under: uncultured bacterium
Lineage: Bacteria
Description: partial 16S ribosomal RNA
Rfam family: Bacterial small subunit ribosomal RNA
Source: RNAcentral
CAGUCGCCGCGGGAAUACGUAGGGUGCGAGCGUUAAUCGGAAUUACAGGGCGUAAAGCGUGCGCAGGCGGUUGUGUAAGACAGGUGUGAAAUCCCCGGGCUUAACCUGGGAACUGCGCUUGUGACUGCACAGCUAGAGUAUGGCAGAGGGGGGUGGAAUUCCACGUGUAGCAGUGAAAUGCGUAGAGAUGUGGAGGAACACCGGUGGCGAAGGCGGCUCUCUGGACCGAUACUGACGCUGAGGCGCGAAAGCGUGGGGAGCAAACAGGAUUAGAUACCCGGGUAGUCCCUGUCUCUUAUAC